Molecule: small nucleolar RNA, 101 nt
Filed under: Echinops telfairi (small Madagascar hedgehog)
Lineage: Eukaryota; Metazoa; Chordata; Mammalia; Afrosoricida; Tenrecidae
Description: Small nucleolar RNA SNORA61 (ENSETEG00000024946.1)
Source: RNAcentral
GCUCUCCAGGUUUCUUACUCAUCAGAUCUAAACAUUGAUCUGAGUGGCCAAAAAAGGAGCACAAGUAAAACUCAACUAGAUUUGGGUUAUUUCACAAUGUG